UGAGGAAUUGGCUAGAUAUUACCAAGUGGCGUCUGCUCUUUAUGAAGUGUUAAGAGAUGUAACAAACCACAAGGUUGAUUCUGAGGUGAUGAAACGUGCUAAAGUAGUAGAGGAAAAGAGUGCUCAUUUUAAGAGUUACAAGUACAACAUAGUCCCCCUCAAUUUUCCUGGUUCUGCAGAAGCAGUUGUGGAACUCCCGGAG
Non-coding RNA from Triticum urartu, 202 nucleotides. Lineage: Eukaryota; Viridiplantae; Streptophyta; Magnoliopsida; Poales; Poaceae. The record is from RefSeq and is a predicted model, not a curated record.